This 347-nucleotide ribosomal RNA is filed under the name uncultured Bacillus sp. Its description in RNAcentral is "bacterial SSU rRNA". It matches the Rfam family "Bacterial small subunit ribosomal RNA", at positions 568 to 916 of the family's 1533-position model. Lineage: Bacteria; Bacillati; Bacillota; Bacilli; Caryophanales; Bacillaceae. The record is from RNAcentral.
CGCGUAGGCGGUUUUUUAAGUCUGAUGUGAAAGCCCACGGCUCAACCGUGGAGGGUCAUUGGAAACUGGGAGACUUGAGUGCAGAAGAGGAAAGUGGAAUUCCAUGUGUAGCGGUGAAAUGCGUAGAGAUAUGGAGGAACACCAGUGGCGAAGGCGACUUUCUGGUCUGUAACUGACACUGAGGCGCGAAAGCGUGGGGAGCAAACAGGAUUAGAUACCCUGGUAGUCCACGCCGUAAACGAUGAGUGCUAAGUGUUAGAGGGUUUCCGCCCUUUAGUGCUGAAGUUAACGCAUUAAGCACUCCGCCUGGGGAGUACGCCGCAAGGCUGAAACUUAAAAAAUUGCGG